CUCGCUUCCCGGCACGAGUCCCCGCCGCUCCGGCAGAGCGCUGCUGCCCUGCGCGCCCGGGCCCACAGAGGGCGCCCCGGCGGCGGCGGGCGCGCUCAGGGCGGCACCGUAACCGAGCGCUCCGGGGCGGCACGGCGGUACUAUAACCGAGCGUUCCGGGGCAGCACCGUAACGGAGCGCUCGGGGGCGGCACGGCGGCACCGUAACGGAGCGCUCGGGGGCGGCACGGCGGUACCAUAACCGAGCGUUCCGGGGCAGCACGGCGGCUCCGCGACCGAGAGCUCGGGGCGGCGCCGGGCCCGGGCCGCCAGGCUGCCCCGGGGCUCGGAGGCUGCACGCCUCGUUCCCAACGCCCCGUCUGCUCCGCAGCUGGCCCAGAGCCGUGUUUGCUCCUUGACGGAGUAUGGAGGAACGCGAUAUUGCCUGCCUGUCUGAUCAAACACGGGGCUUAGUCGUGACUUGGGUUUUAGGGCGGCCUGGGGCUGCUUUUCCAGCUCCCCUGUGUCCCGGUCGGGCGGGAAGCAGCCCCGGUAUGACGGCGGAAGGCGCCCCGGCGGCACCGCCCCGCGUGGGCAUGGCGGCUGGGGCUCGGCGGCGGCAGCUCCCGGCCUGGAUGGGGGCGGCGGGGGACGGGCGGGCGGCGGCGGCCCCGGCCCCCAGCGCCGGGCGGCGGCGGGCGGCGGCGGGGCGCAGGCCGGCGGCGCUGUACUGCAUGAACGAGGCGGAGCUGCUGGAGGUGGCCCUGGCGGUCCUGGCCGAGGUGAGCCGGGACCUCCGGGGAUGGGGGCGGCAGGGCUCCGGAGGCCGGGCAGGGAGCGCUGCUGCCCGCGGCUCCCUGGCGGCCCUCUCCGGGCGGGCCGGAGGGCGCUGCCGGUGCCGCAUGGCUUUCCCGGCCUCUCCUCUCUGUCCCAGCGGCGCUGCUGCCUUUGCAAAGCACAACCGCGGGCCUGGGGCCUGGCGAGGCGCGGCUCACGGGCAUGGUGGGCUGCCCUCCUGCUCCUUGGGUGCUCCCGGCGUGAAGUCAUGCACGGCCGGCCCUUGUUGUUUUCCCUCUGGUCAGAAUCUACAGAGCGAGGAAGGUGAGGAGAAGGCCCGGUCCGGGAGCGAGGAGGAGCAGGAGAUCCCGCCAACACCAAGCGAGGCCAGCACGGAUGGAGGCAGCGACCGCGGUCCGGCACUUCCAUCCCCUCCUGCUGCUGGUGCUGAAGCAGAGGGGACAGGCGCGAAGAACUCUGAGGACGAUGUCCUGAAAUACGUCAGGGAGAUCUUUUUCAGCUAA
Molecule: long non-coding RNA, 1279 nt
Filed under: Junco hyemalis (dark-eyed junco)
Lineage: Eukaryota; Metazoa; Chordata; Aves; Passeriformes; Passerellidae
Description: lncRNA (ENSJHYG00000013121.1)
Source: RNAcentral